GUGGAGUGUUUACAGAUUGUCGUUCUUAGACGACGGCUUAUAAGAGGAGUAAAACUAAUAACGCACAACAAACCCUAAUUAGGGUCACCAAUAUAUACCGCGGGUUACAAGAGAUGGUGCAUGGUUGUCGUCAUCUCGUGUCGUAAGGUGUUGGGUUAAGUCUCGCAACGAGCGCAACCCUCGUGUUUAGUUGCCACUAUGAGUUUGGAACCCUGUUAAGCCAGAGGAAGGAGAGGAUGAGGCCAAGUCAUCAUGCCCCUUAUGCCCUGGGCGACACACGUGCUACAAUGGGCGGGACAAAAAGUCACGAUCUUGUGAGGGUGAGCUAACUCCAAAAUUCUGUCAUUUGGAUUUGUAGGCUGCAACUCGCUUGCAUGAAGCAGGAAU
This 387-nucleotide non-coding RNA is filed under the name Zea mays. Its description in RNAcentral is "Bacterial small subunit ribosomal RNA". It matches the Rfam family "Bacterial small subunit ribosomal RNA", at positions 1014 to 1332 of the family's 1533-position model. The record is from Rfam by way of RNAcentral. Lineage: Eukaryota; Viridiplantae; Streptophyta; Magnoliopsida; Poales; Poaceae.